RNAcentral lists this ribosomal RNA (452 nucleotides) under uncultured eukaryote. RNAcentral describes it as "bacterial SSU rRNA". It matches the Rfam family "Eukaryotic small subunit ribosomal RNA", at positions 21 to 471 of the family's 1831-position model. The record is from RNAcentral.
UAGUCAUAUGCUUGUCCCAAAGAUUAAGCCAUGCAUGUCUAAGUAUAAACCCAUUCUUACGGGAGAACCUGCGAAGGGUUCAUUAUCUCAGUUAUAUUUGAUUGGAGGGUAACGUUGCUGCAUGGAUAAGUGUGUUCUUUCUAUAUCUAAGACAUGCUAGACAGCCCCCACUUCUGGAAGGGGUGUAUUUAUUACAUAAAGAACGAAUGCUCGCCCCCCCUCCCUGGAGAUUCGAAAUAACUUCUCAAAUCGCAUGGCCUUGAGCCGGCGAUGCUUCUUCCGCCUAUCUGCCCUAUCAUCUUUCGAUGGGAGGAUACAGGGCUGCCAUGGGAUCAACGGGAAACGGGGAAUUAUGCUUCAAUUCCAGACAGGGAGCCUGAUAAACCUUUACCACAUCCAAGGAAGGCCGCAAGUUCCCAAUCUACCCAGUCCCGACGCGGGGACGUAAUGAC